Molecule: long non-coding RNA, 4257 nt
Filed under: Pan paniscus (pygmy chimpanzee)
Lineage: Eukaryota; Metazoa; Chordata; Mammalia; Primates; Hominidae
Description: lncRNA (ENSPPAG00000044832.1)
Source: RNAcentral
UGCAUAUCUAAAGCACAGCACUUAAUCCUUUACAUUGUCUAUGAUGCAAAGACCUUUGUCUGUCUGCUGACCCUCUCCCCACAAUUGUCUUGUGACCCUGACACAUCCCCCUCUUCGAGAAACACCCACAAAUGAUCAAUAAAUACUAAGGGAAUUCAGAGGCUGGUGGGAUCCUCCAUAUGCUGAACGCUGGUUCCCCGGGUUCCCUUAUUUCUUUCUCUAUAUUUUGUCUCUGUGUCUUUUUCUUUCCUAAGUCUCUCGUUCCACCUUACGAGAAACACCCACAGGUGUGGAGGGGCAACCCACCCCUACAUUUUCCCCUGGUAUCAUUCUUUUUUUUGAGACUGAGUCUCAUUCUGUCACCCAGGCUGGAAUGCUAUGUCACGAUGUCAGCUCGCUGCAACCCUUGCUUCCUGAGUUCAUGUGAUCCUCCUGCUUUAGCCUCCCAAGUAGCUGGGAUUAGAGGCGUGGGUCACGAUGCCCGACUAAAUUUUUUGUAUGUUUAGUAAUGACUGGGUUUCAUCAAAUUGGCCAGUCUGUCCUUGAACUCCUGACUUCAAGUGAUGCGCCUGCCUUGGCCUCCCCUAGGGCUGUGAUUACAGGAAUGAGCCACCAGAACCCAGCCAAAUAUCCCCCACUGCCUUCUUUUUUGCUUUUUUCCUAAUCUCCUGAAGUCAUUCUUUGAGUUGUCAUGUAGAUUAAUAGGUUUCUCAAAUUACUGGAAAACUAGUUGAAGAAAUAAACAGGCAGUUUGUGAAUAUUAGAUAGAACAGUGGUGCUGAGCAUGGCUAAAGCAUCUCUGCAUUCACAGGGAGAGGAGCGGAAGACCUUCUGGUGUGGGCUGGGCAGCAAUUCACUUGCAGGAGAAACAGCCCGGGUGUGGAGAGGCAGCCAACCUUGGCGGGAUCCUUUCUAAGGAGCCGAGAAAUCAACGUAGAGCUUCCUCUGUCUGAUUCUUUAACAACUGCAGACCUUCCAUGAGUCAAGCUUUGUGUCAAAAGGACAAAUUAAAAGGACCUAUAAAAGGCAUCACCAAGCCCAAUGGACAGAUGCCCCAGGCUGCACAUUCUGUCAGUGCUGUUCUGGAAAAGGCGCAAACACAUGCUGAAACAUCGAAGGAUAAGAAGCCAGCCUUCGGGAACCGGCAGGAGCACCCUGGGCCCCGCAUGGCCCCAAGUCCAGCCUGCCCCGCCUCCUCUGGUGCAGAGGUCCAGGGACACCAGCAGCAGCCCCGCCACGCUCCCCAAGGCCAAGAACACAGGCGGCAGGGGCUUCCCCUCCCUGCCAGACUACUUCCUGCCGCCACAGCCACCACCCUUGGACGACCCAGAGCUCCCGCCGCCCCUGGACUUCGUGCUCCCUACCCCCGCGGUCGCCAAGAGGCCUCCUAUGCCCCACCCCCGCAAGAGACACGAAGCAUCAAUGUUCAGAAGCAGCAAAUAAAUAAAAUAAAUGAAUAAAAUAAAAAUAAAUAAAUAGCAUAUGUGUCCUGUUAGCCUCAUCAGUAACUUUAACUAGACAAAGAAGGUCUUGUCCCAAACAGAAACACUUUUCCGAACCAAAAUUAUCCAGUGUUCUGAGAUUCAUCUCAGUUAUGUAUUUGUUUUUUGUUUAUUUCCGUAGAGACUAGGCUUUAUUUUUUUCUGUUUAAAUUCCAGUGCCAUCACUUGCCAAAUUUAUGUCUCUGAGAUUUUCACACUUAAAAAUAUCUACCCUCUUUUAAAUACAUCCUCACUGAAAUGUCAGUUUUCUAAUUUCAUAGUAGCUUUUGUUAGUUUGUUCUGUAUUUCUUUGUUUGCAUUUUAUUCUAUUUAUAUAUAUUUUUAAAUAUAUUUAUAUAUAUAUAUUUUAUUUUACUUUAAGUUCUGGGAUAUAUGUGCAGAAUGUGCAGGUUUGUUCCAUAGAUAUGUAUGUGCCAUGGUGGUUUGCUGCAUCUAUCAACCCAUCAUAUAAAUUUUAAGCUCCACAAGCAUUAGGUAUUUGUCCUAAUUCUCUCCUUACCCUUGCCCCACAACCCUCAACAGGCCCCAGUGUGUGAUGUUUCCCUCCCUGUGUCCAUGUGUUCUCAUUCUUCAACUCCCACUUAUGAGUGAGAACAUGUGUUGUUUGGUUUUCUGUUCCUGUGUUAGUUUGCUGAGAAUGAUGGCUUCUAGCUUCAUUCAUGUCCCUGCAAAGGACAUGAACUCAUUCUUUUUUAUGGCUGCAUAGUAUUCCAUGGUGUAUAUGUGCCACAUUUUCUUUUUUUUUAACUUUGUUUUUGAGAUGGAGUCUCGCUCUGUCGACCAGGCUGCAGUGCAGUGGAACAAUCUCGGCUCACUGCAAGCUCUGCCUCCCGGGUUCAUGCCAUUCUCCUGCCUCAGCCUCCCGAGUAGCUGAGACUACAGGUGCCCAUGACCACUCCUGGCUAAUUUUUUGUACUUUUAGUAGAGACGGGGUUUCACUGUGUUAGCCAGGAUGGUCUCGAUCUCCUGACUUUGUGAUCCGCCUGCCUCAGCCUCCCAAAGUGCUGGGAUUACAGGCGUGAACCACCGCACCCGGCCUAUAUGUGCCAAAUUUUCUUUAUGCAGUCUAUCAUUUAUGGGCACUUGGGUUGGUUCCAAGUCUUGGUGUUGUAAACAGUCCUGCAAUAAACAUAUGUGUGCAUGUGUCUUUAUAGUAGAAUAACUCGUAAUCCUCUGCGUAUAUAUCCAGUAAUGGGAUUGCUGUGUCAAAUGGUAUUUCUGGUUCUAGAUCUUUGAAGAAUUGCCACACUGUCUUCCAUGAUGGUUGAACUAAUUUACACUCCCACCAACAGUGUAAAAGCGUUCCUAUUUCUCCACAGCCUCAUCAGUAUCUGUUAUUUCCUACUUUUUAAUAAUAAUCACCAUUCUAAGUGAGAUGGUAUCUCACUGUGGUUUUGAUUUGCAUUUGUCUAGUGACGAGUGAUGAUGAGCUUUUUUUUUCAUAGGUUUGUUGACCACAUAAAUGUCUUCUUUUGAGAAGUGUCUGUUCAUAUCCUUUGCCCACUUUUUGAUGGGGUUAUUUGUUUUUUAUUGUAAAUUUGUUUAAGUUCCUUAUAGAUUCUGGAUAUUAAAACUUUGUCACAUGGAUAGAUUGCAAAAAUUUUCUCCCAUUCUGUAGAUCACCUGUUCACUCUGAUGAUAUGUAGAAAGCAGAAAAUGGACCCCCUCCUUACACCUUACACAAAAAUUAACUCAAGGUGGAUUAAAGACUUAAAUGUAAAACCUGGCCGGGUGCAGUGGCUCACACCUGUAAUCCCAGCACUUUGGGAGGCCGAGGUGGUGGGGAGUUUGAGACCAGCCUAACCAACAUGGUGAAACCCCAUCUCUACUAAAGUAGCUGGGCAUGGUGGUGUGCACCUGUAAUCCCAGCUACUCAGGAGGCUGAGGCAGGAGAAUCUCUUGAACCGGGGAGACAGAGGUUGCAGUGAGCCGAGAUCGUGCCACUGCACUCCAGCCUGGCGACAGAGCAAGACUCCAUCUCAAAAAUAAAUAAAUAAAUAAAUAAGUAAAUGGAUAAACAAAAACCAUCAAAACCCUAGAAGAAAACCUAGGCAACAUCAUUCAGGACAUAGGCAUCGACAAAGACUUCAUGACUAAAACACCAAAAGCAAUUGCAAGAAAAGCCAAAAUUGACAAAUGGUAUCUAGUUAAACUACAGAGCUUCUGCACAGCAAAAAAAACUAUCUUUGUUUGGAUUUUAAAUAUCUUAGAAUCACGGUCUGUGGGAAUCUUAGAAGUUCUAAGGUACAAUUUCCUGAUUUUAUAUUAGAAGAUAUGAUGACACAUUUAAUUACCCAUUUUGUGCAAGUUCAUGAAGCUCAAGUUCAUAAUCAAGACUGGAGCUGACUUCCCUGUUCUGUCAGUAUCAAAGCUAAAGACUGGAACUGACUCCCCUUGUUUCUCAGUAUCAUGGCCGGAGAAUCACUUGAGCCCAGUGUGUAAGAUAUACAUGAUCUGGAGCCCGGUAUCUCUGACUUCGUGCAUAAUACCUUGCCCUGCUCACACUACUUAAGUUCACAGUCCUCCCUGUGGUUCUCUGAACACCAAGUACAUGCCUUGCAUGGGAUGCCUUCCCGGGUACUCCCUCUUUAUAGAACGCUCUUCCCCCAGGCAUCUGCACUGUUAACUGUUACACCUUCUUCAAGUCUUUGCUCAGUUGUCACCCUCUCAACAAGACUCACCACCAAGUUUUAAGUUUCAUCUUCCCACAAAAAUCUCCACCUUUUAAUUUAAUGUUCAUCAGUUUAAUUAUCUU